UGGGGAAUAUUGGACAAUGGAGGAAACUCUGAUCCAGCCAUGCCGCGUGAGUGAUGAAGGCCUUAGGGUUGUAAAGCUCUUUUACCAGGGAAGAUGAUGACGGUACCUGGAGAAUAAGCACCGGCUAACUUCGUGCCAGCAGCCGCGGUAAUACGAAGGGUGCUAGCGUUGUUCGGAAUCACUGGGCGUAAAGCGUGCGUAGGCGGCUGUGCAAGCCAGAGGUGAAAUGCCGGAGCUUAACUCCGGAACUGCCUUUGGAACUGCACGGCUAGAGUGUCGGAGGGGAUAGGGGAAUUUCUAAUGUAGCGGUGAAAUGCGUAGAUAUUAGAAGGAACACCGGUGGCGAAGGCGCCUAUCUGGACGACAACUGACGCUGAGGCACGAAAGCGUGGGGAUCAAA
RNAcentral lists this ribosomal RNA (400 nucleotides) under uncultured bacterium. RNAcentral's name for it is "bacterial SSU rRNA". It matches the Rfam family "Bacterial small subunit ribosomal RNA", at positions 355 to 772 of the family's 1533-position model. The record is from RNAcentral.